This 411-nucleotide transfer-messenger RNA is filed under the name bacterium. It matches the Rfam family "transfer-messenger RNA". From Rfam's summary of the family: Bacterial tmRNA, also known as 10Sa RNA or SsrA, is named for its dual tRNA and mRNA-like properties. Its role is to liberate the mRNA from a stalled ribosome. The record is from RNAcentral.
GGGGCUGAAUUUUAAGCUCGACGUUAGUUUAACAAGUUGGCAUGGCAAGCGGGGCUGAUCUGCACCUUAGUCGGAUCAAAUCAAUAGUUGCAAAUACUACUGAUCGCAAGAGUCUAAUUGCUGAUUUAGCUGCAAAGCUAUUUCCUGCAAAGCAAACUCUUGCAACAGCUGCCUAAUUAUUUAGACAGCCGCUAUUUCCUGGACGUCAGAUACGGGAUACUUAGCGCCAAUUUUUUCUGAACGCUACCUUGACCCUCAUUUGAAGUUAAGGUCUAAGAUUUCCAAGUUGCCGUAAACUGAUAUUUUGUAUGUCUAAAGUUAGUUAACGAAAGAACCAAAAGAUAUACUAAGCUUGUAGUCAUCCAAUGAGUCAACCGACGGACGCGGGGGCGGUACCCGCCAGCUCCUCCA